RNAcentral lists this ribosomal RNA (445 nucleotides) under uncultured bacterium. RNAcentral describes it as "partial 16S ribosomal RNA". It matches the Rfam family "Bacterial small subunit ribosomal RNA", at positions 354 to 796 of the family's 1533-position model. The record is from RNAcentral.
GUGAGGAAUAUUGGUCAAUGGGCGAGAGCCUGAACCAGCCAAGUAGCGUGAGGGAUGACUGCCCUAUGGGUUGUAAACCUCUUUUGCAGGGGGGUAAAGUGGUUCACGUGUGGACCAUUGCAAGUACCCUGCGAAUAAGGAUCGGCUAACUCCGCGCCAGCAGCCGCGGUAAUACGGAGGAUCCGAGCGUUAUCCGGAUUUAUUGGGUUUAAAGGGAGCGUAGGCGGGGGUUUAAGUCAGCUGUGAAAUGCCGUGGCCCAACCAUGGAACUGCAGUUGAAACUGGACCUCUUGAGAGUACAUAAGGAAGGCGGAAUUCGUGGUGUAGCGGUGAAAUGCAUAGAUAUCACGAAGAACUCCGAUUGCGAAGGCAGCUUUCCGGGGUACAUCUGACGCUGAAGCUCGAAAGUGCGGGAAUCAAACAGGAUUAGAUACCCGAGUAGUCC